AGAGUUUGAUCCUGGCUCAGGACGAACGCUGGCGGCGUGCUUAACACAUGCAAGUCGAACGGGCUGAAGUGAUAGCUUGCUAUUAUGGAUGCUAGUGGCAAACGGGUGAGUAACGCGUAGGCAACCUGCCCUUCAGAUGGGGACAACACUUCGAAAGAGGUGCUAAUACCGAAUGACGUAUCCAUUCCGCAUGGAGAGGAUACCAAAGGCCGGGCAACCGGUCACUGAAGGAUGGGCCUGCGUCUGAUUAGCUGGUUGGUGGGGUAACGGCCCACCAAGGCGACGAUCAGUAGCCGGUCUGAGAGGAUGAACGGCCACAUUGGGACUGAGACACGGCCCAAACUCCUACGGGAGGCAGCAGUGGGAAUCUUCCGCAAUGGGCGCAAGCCUGACGGAGCAACGCCGCGUGAGUGAAGAAGGUUUUCGGAUCGUAAAGCUCUGUUGAGAGGGACGAGAGGCAAGGCUAGGAAAUGAGCUUUGUAGGACGGUACCUUUCGAGGAAGCCACGGCUAACUACGUGCCAGCAGCCGCGGUAAUACGUAGGUGGCGAGCGUUGUCCGGAAUUAUUGGGCGUAAAGGGAGCGCAGGUGGGAAAGUAAGUCAGUCUUAAAAGUGCGGGGCUCGACCCCGUGAGGGGAUUGAAACUACUUUUCUUGAGUGCAGGAGAGGAAAGCGGAAUUCCUAGUGUAGCGGUGAAAUGCGUAGAUAUUAGGAGGAACACCAGUGGCGAAGGCGGCUUUCUGGACUGUAACUGACACUGAGGCUCGAAAGCCAGGGGAGCGAACGGGAUUAGAUACCCCGGUAGUCCUGGCCGUAAACGAUGGAUACUAGGUGUAGGAGGUAUCGACCCCUUCUGUGCCGGAGUUAACGCAAUAAGUAUCCCGCCUGGGGA
This 892-nucleotide ribosomal RNA is filed under the name uncultured bacterium. RNAcentral's name for it is "bacterial SSU rRNA". It matches the Rfam family "Bacterial small subunit ribosomal RNA", at positions 8 to 879 of the family's 1533-position model. The record is from RNAcentral.